UAACCGUAGCUGAGAAGCUGCGCUGAACCGGCAGGAGUCAGCAGAGGCCAUAGUACGAAAAGGGUUGCAACCCUUUACGGAAGGGC
Molecule: non-coding RNA, 86 nt
Filed under: Phytophthora kernoviae 00238/432
Lineage: Eukaryota; Oomycota; Peronosporomycetes; Peronosporales; Peronosporaceae
Source: RNAcentral